RNAcentral lists this long non-coding RNA (413 nucleotides) under Equus asinus (donkey). RNAcentral's name for it is "lncRNA (ENSEASG00005032421.1)". The record is from RNAcentral. Lineage: Eukaryota; Metazoa; Chordata; Mammalia; Perissodactyla; Equidae.
GUGUACUGAGGACAACAGUUAGGUGGAAAUUUUCACUAAUGAGAAAUUGAUUGAAAAAGCAGCAGAGAGCCAGUUAAACAGGAACUGAGAACUAAGGAAGUGAAACAUUUGUGGAGGAGUAAUUUGGGAAACAGAGACCAGCACAAAUGAAACUCCCAGAAUGACAGUAAUGCAGCAGGAAGAUUAGCCCUGAAGUCACAUCCACUGCCAAUUCUUCUCCUUUUGCUGAGGAAGAUUGGCCUCAGCCAACAUCUGUGCCCAUCUUCCUCUACUUUAUAUGUGGGAUGCCUGCCACAGCAUGGCUUGUUAAGCAGUGUGUAGGUCCGUGCCCGGGAUCCAAACCUGUGGACCCUGGGCCGCUGAAGCAGAGCGCAUGAACUUAACAACCUCGCCACUGGGCUGGCCCCUGCUUU